CGACAUUUUAUUAAUUUUAAAAGCUAUAGAUUAUAGAAAUAAAAAUUUUCCGUAUGAAAUUUCCCUCCUAAGGGUCGGCCCAAGUCCAGGACCUGUCUGGGAAUUGUGGACAUAUCGGUAGGACACGGGCAAGGAUUGCCAUCUCGCUCAGCACCUGUUUCCUUGAACGAUGAGAAUAACCCAUCUCUCCUGUUUUAAGUGUGAUUUGUCAUAUACAUCAAUAGGCAUCUUGGCUCAACAUACGAAAGCCCCUUUCCACAGAGACAGCUGCCUCCAGCCUGAAGAAGUUGCCACAGGAGGUAGAAGGAGGUCCCUUGCCCAUGCCUGGGAGACCCAGCCAGAGUGGACAGGGAGGCGGCCCGGGCCGGGGUGCCAGACUCAGCAAAUAAACACAGCAUGCCCAGGCAACGAAAGCAAGCGCUGCAAAGACGAAGGGGAGCGCCCAAGGAUGAGGAACGUUCCAAGACACUGAGUGAUUUGCUGAAAAUCACACAUCUAGAUGCAAAGCCAGAAUGCGAGCAGUGACCACCACACUUGACAAAUCCGUUGUUGCACACAUUUGUACUCUUCAAUCAACAAAACCUGAUGCAAAAAACAGAAAAGGGGGAGAUGUACAUGCAUUUUCCCUCACUGCAAAAAAAACACAACUUGUUUAACUACAGGUGUGUUCCUGGUGGUCUUUGAAUGAAGACAUUGACAGAAAGUAACAUAGCAUGCUGGUUAAAGACUGUUUUUAUUCGAAUCCUGGCUUUGCCAAUCAACAGCUGCAUAAAUUAAACUCUCGACCUCAGCUCCCUUAUUUGUAAAACAAGAAUAACAAAAAGACAUUUUUAUAAGGUUGGGUUGAAGGUUAAAUGAAAUAACAGAAGAUUAUCUCUUCACUAAUUUUAGCUGUAGAAAACAGAAGCCAAUCGAAAGAGCUCCCAGUCCAAAGCUGGAACAACUUGAACAACAAAAUAAAUAAUGUAGCAUUGGAUUACAAACCAACCAUAAAACAAAUAUCCAUGAGUC
Molecule: long non-coding RNA, 1011 nt
Filed under: Homo sapiens (human)
Lineage: Eukaryota; Metazoa; Chordata; Mammalia; Primates; Hominidae
Description: HSALNT0366547
Source: RNAcentral